UGGGGAAUAUUGCACAAUGGGCGAAAGCCUGAUGCAGCAACGCCGCGUGAGGGACGACGGCCUUCGGGUUGUAAACCUCUUUUAGCAAGGAAGAAGCGAAAGUGACGGUACUUGCAGAAAAAGCGCCGGCUAACUACGUGCCAGCAGCCGCGGUAAUACGUAGGGCGCAAGCGUUAUCCGGAAUUAUUGGGCGUAAAGAGCUCGUAGGCGGUUUGUCGCGUCUGCUGUGAAAACCCGAGGCUCAACCUCGGGCCUGCAGUGGGUACGGGCAGACUAGAGUGCGGUAGGGGAGAUUGGAACUCCUGGUGUAGCGGUGGAAUGCGCAGAUAUCAGGAAGAACACCGAUGGCGAAGGCAGAUCUCUGGGCCGUAACUGACGCUGAGGAGCGAAAGGGUGGGGAGCAAAACAGGCUUAGAUGNCCCUGGUAGUCCACCCCGUAAACGUUGGGAACUAGUUGUGGGGUCCAUUCCACGGAUUCCGUGACGCAGCUAACGCAUUAAG
RNAcentral lists this ribosomal RNA (501 nucleotides) under uncultured bacterium. RNAcentral's name for it is "partial 16S ribosomal RNA". It matches the Rfam family "Bacterial small subunit ribosomal RNA", at positions 355 to 864 of the family's 1533-position model. The record is from RNAcentral.